GACGAACGCUGGCGGCGUGCUUAACACAUGCAAGUCGAGCGGUAAGGCCCUUUCGGGGGUACACGAGCGGCGAACGGGUGAGUAACACGUGGGUGACCUGCCUUUAGCUCUGGGAUAAGCCUGGGAAACUGGGUCUAAUACCGGAUAUGACUCCGCGGUGCAUGCUGUGGGGUGGAAAGCCUUGUGCGGCUGGAGAUGGGCCCGCGGCCUAUCAGCUUGUUGGUGGGGUGAUGGCCUACCAAGGCGACGACGGGUAGCCGGCCUGAGAGGG
RNAcentral lists this ribosomal RNA (271 nucleotides) under uncultured bacterium. RNAcentral describes it as "partial 16S ribosomal RNA". It matches the Rfam family "Bacterial small subunit ribosomal RNA", at positions 28 to 300 of the family's 1533-position model. The record is from RNAcentral.